Molecule: ribosomal RNA, 468 nt
Filed under: uncultured bacterium
Lineage: Bacteria
Description: partial 16S ribosomal RNA
Rfam family: Bacterial small subunit ribosomal RNA
Source: RNAcentral
GACGAACGCUGGCGGCGUGCUUAACACAUGCAAGUCGAACGGAAAGGCCCUGCUUUUGUGGGGUGCUCGAGUGGCGAACGGGUGAGUAACACGUGAGUAACCUGCCCUUGACUUUGGGAUAACUUCAGGAAACUGGGGCUAAUACCGGAUAGGAGCUCCUGCUGCAUGGUGGGGGUUGGAAAGUUUCGGCGGUUGGGGAUGGACUCGCGGCUUAUCAGCUUGUUGGUGGGGUAGUGGCUUACCAAGGCUUUGACGGGUAGCCGGCCUGAGAGGGUGACCGGCCACAUUGGGACUGAGAUACGGCCCAGACUCCUACGGGAGGCAGAAGUCGGGAAUAUUGCACAAUGGGCGGAAGCCUGAUGCAGCAACGCCGCGUGCGGGAUGACGGCCUUCGGGUUGUAAACCGCUUUCGCCUGUGACGAAGCGGGAGUGACGGUAAUGGGUAAAGAAGCACCGGCUAACUACGUG